GCCGGGCGCGGUGGUGGGCGCCUGUAAUCCCAGCUACUUGGGAGGCUGAGGCAGGAGAAUCACUUGAACCCAGGAGGUGGAGGUUGCAGUGAGCUGACAUCGCGCCACUGCACUCUAGCCUGGGUGACAGAGCAAGAUUCCGUCUCAA
This is an unclassified non-coding RNA of Pongo abelii (Sumatran orangutan), 148 nucleotides long. It matches the Rfam family "Metazoan signal recognition particle RNA". Rfam says of the family: The signal recognition particle (SRP) is a universally conserved ribonucleoprotein. It is involved in the co-translational targeting of proteins to membranes. The record is from Ensembl. Lineage: Eukaryota; Metazoa; Chordata; Mammalia; Primates; Hominidae.